UGGGGAAUAUUGGACAAUGGGCGAAAGCCUGAUCCAGCCAUGCCGCGUGUGUGAAGAAGGUCUUCGGAUUGUAAAGCACUUUAAGUUGGGAGGAAGGGCAUUAACCUAAUACGUUAGUGUUUUGACGUUACCGACAGAAUAAGCACCGGCUAACUCUGUGCCAGCAGCCGCGGUAAUAAAGAGGGUGCAAGCGUUAAUCGGAAUUAGUGGGCGUAAAGCGCGCGUAGGUGGUUUGUUAAGUUGGAUGUGAAAUCCCCGGGCUCAACCUGGGAACUGCAUUCAAAACUGACUGACUAGAGUAUGGUAGAGGGUGGUGGAAUUUCCUGUGUAGCGGUGAAAUGCGUAGAUAUAGGAAGGAACACCAGUGGCGAAGGCGACCACCUGGACUAAUACUGACACUGAGGUGCGAAAGCGUGGGGAGCAAACA
Molecule: ribosomal RNA, 427 nt
Filed under: uncultured bacterium
Lineage: Bacteria
Description: partial 16S ribosomal RNA
Rfam family: Bacterial small subunit ribosomal RNA
Source: RNAcentral